Molecule: long non-coding RNA, 125 nt
Filed under: Numida meleagris (helmeted guineafowl)
Lineage: Eukaryota; Metazoa; Chordata; Aves; Galliformes; Numididae
Description: lncRNA (ENSNMEG00000003882.1)
Source: RNAcentral
GGGAUCCCCCCCAAACUGGGACCCUAUGGAACUGGGACACCCCCAAACUGGGACCCUAUGGAACUGGGACCCCCAAAACUGGGAUCCCCCCCAAAACUGGGACCCUAUUGGACUGGGACCCCCAA